UGAAUCGUAGAUACCGACUUAUGGUAUGAGAGUGUGUUUUUGUAAUAUAAUCAUAGAUAUUGAAUCUUGAUAGAGUUUUUCCGUAGAUAACAUGUUACAUUGUAUACAUUUAAUACUUAGUGUAUUUUCAAUGUAGGUUUCUAUGGUUACGGGUGUAUUGACUUUUCAUUUACAGCUGGGAGAUAUGGGACUACAGCUGGUCCAGGCCUACAUGUAGGUGAUGACUGCAUUUCUGCUCGUAGCAGUGAUAUGACGGGUAGUGAGUGACUGUGGAGUUUGCAGUCUGGUUGUUGCAGCUUGUUGCUUGACAUUUGUUUGACCUUGGGGUUUUUUGUUUACGACACAGAAUAAACUUCAAUGCCC
Molecule: long non-coding RNA, 363 nt
Organism: Strongylocentrotus purpuratus (purple sea urchin)
Lineage: Eukaryota; Metazoa; Echinodermata; Echinoidea; Camarodonta; Strongylocentrotidae
Exons: 2
Source: RefSeq, a predicted model, not a curated record